GACGAACGCUGGCGGCGUGCUUAACACAUGCAAGUCGAACGGAAAGACCCUGCUUUUGUGGGGUGCUCGAUUGGCGAACGGGUGAGUAACACGUGAGUAACCUGCCCUUGACUUUGGGAUAACUUCAGGAAACUGGGGCUAAUACCGGAUAGGAUCUCCUGCUGCAUGGUGGGGGUUGGAAAGUUUCGGCGGUUGGGGAUGGACUCGCGGCUUAUCAGCUUGUUGGUGGGGUAGUGGCUUACCAAGGCUUUGACGGGUAGCCGGCCUGAGAGGGUGACCGGCCACAUUGGGACUGAGAUACGGACCAGACUCCUACGGGAGGCAGCAGUGGGGAAUAUUGCACAAUGGGCGGAAGUCUGAUGCAGAAACGCCGCGUGCGGGAUGACGGCCUUCGGGUUGUAAACCGCUUUCGACUGUGACGAAGCGUGAGUGACGGUAAUGGGUAAAGAAGCACCGGCUAACUACGUG
RNAcentral lists this ribosomal RNA (468 nucleotides) under uncultured bacterium. RNAcentral's name for it is "partial 16S ribosomal RNA". It matches the Rfam family "Bacterial small subunit ribosomal RNA", at positions 28 to 507 of the family's 1533-position model. The record is from RNAcentral.